AUGAUACAAGAAGACCUCUCAAAAAAGCUAACAGAUAAAAGGUUUCUUCUAGUACUUGAUGAUGUAUGGAAUGAGGACCCUGAAAAGUGGUAUACAUAUCACCGUGCUCUAGUUACUGGGGGAAAGGGAAGCAGAAUCGUAGUAACCACAAGGAACAAAAAUGUGGGGAUAGUAAUGGGCGGGAUGGCUCCAUAUUAUCUCAAUCAGUUAUCUGACGAUGAUUGCUGGUAUUUGUUCAGAAGCUAUGCAUUUGUAGAUGGUAAAUCCAUUGAAGACCCAAAUUUGGUACGAAUAGGCAUGGAAAUUGUAAAGAAGUUGAAAGGCCUGCCACUGGCUGCAAAAGCAAUAGGCAGCUUACUAUAUUCCAAGGAUACCGAGGAUGAUUGGGAAAAUGUAUUAAGGAGUGAAAUAUGGGAAUUGCCAUCAGAUAAGAACAAUAUAUUACCAGCUCUGAGAUUGAGUUACAAUCAUUUGCCGCCCGUACUGAAGAGAUGUUUUGCAUUUUGCUCGGUCUUUCACAAAGAUUAUGUGUUUGAGAAAGACAGGUUCGUCCAGAUAUGGAUGGCCCUUGGGUUUAUUCAGCCAUAG
Molecule: ribosomal RNA, 588 nt
Filed under: Triticum aestivum (bread wheat)
Lineage: Eukaryota; Viridiplantae; Streptophyta; Magnoliopsida; Poales; Poaceae
Description: partial small subunit ribosomal RNA
Source: RNAcentral